Long non-coding RNA from Hylaeus volcanicus, 7417 nucleotides. RefSeq lists it as uncharacterized. The transcript has 4 exons. The record is from RefSeq and is a predicted model, not a curated record. Lineage: Eukaryota; Metazoa; Arthropoda; Insecta; Hymenoptera; Colletidae.
AGCGAUGUUUGGAAAAGGAGAGAAAUCAGAGCAGAGCGUGUUAAUCGAAUCCACUCGAGUUAGAUGGUAAAAGAUGCCGACAGCGGAACUUGGAAUGAUCGAGUAAACUUCAGGCAUUUAUUGGAUUCAUGGAUCUAUGAUAAAUCCUCCGUUACAAUGGUCGUGUAGUGUGACAGUAGAAAAAUGGUAUCUAAUCGUAAUACUUGAAAAUUUGUUAUAGUUACAAUAUCUUGAUUGGACGUCUCAACUAAACCUCUCACGCUUUCGAAACGUGAUGAAAUAAUUUUUGGCAAAAAAAUAUAACCGACUUCGUAAAAACAUUAAAAUUGCACUAAAAAGUAUGAAAUAAUUUCUAUUUCCUUUAUAUUAAACAGGGACCAUAACUGUUAUAAGUAAAAAGAAAAAAAAUCAUGGUAUAACAAGUAUUGGAAAUGGGUCAUAGGUGAAUAAUAAAAUACUGAAUUUCUAGAUAACUUUUGCUUUAUUCACUAAAUUGUCAUGAGCAAAUUCUGAUCUUUUCUUAACGAGGAGCUGCACAAGACUGACCGAUGAACGUUAAAAGAAAAACCGUAGAAAGAAUUUCUAACUGCAUACAGCGUAGUUUUAGCACAUCUGUUUAGUUUUUAGUAAACUACAGGAAGUGUCCUCUCAGACACUUGAGAGGGUAGGCCACAGCCUAAACGAAAACUUUCUCUUUCGUUAUUCUGCAGUGACAGAUAUAACGUUGUACAUAUAUUUUCAGUACGUUUAUUUUUGUAAUAAAAUGACAUGUUGCUGUUUAGUAAAUAUUCCAACAACAAGUAUUCGAUCGACUAAAAUCGUAUUGAUUACAAAUAAGGAUUAUAAGUGACCGAAAAUUUGUUCUCUUGUUGGUAAAUGUUAUCGUCGAGAGAAAUUUAUUUCGAUCGCUCAUAAGAGUUAUCGAUGAGAGAAAUCUAUUUCGAUCGCUGAUAACUGUUAUCAAUCAGAGAAGUUCAUUUCGAUUGCUUAUAACAGUUAUUGAUAAAAGAAAUUUUUAAUAGUUAUUAGUUUCUUUUUAUUUCAAUUUCAACGUAUGACUUGCUAAUUUCGGAACAACUUAUAUUGUCCAAUUCAUCGUCCGAGGCGUUCUCCUCGUUCUAAUCCACUUCCAUUACUCUUAUAGAAUUUUGCAGGAACAUGUGAGCAGUCGCGUGGAGAAUACCGUCAUUUUGUAAAUUUAAAUUAAGUGGGUUUGCACCUGUGUGUUAAACAACUGUACAUCCAUAUACGAGUGGAACAGAGUUGUCCAUGAACAAAGACAGUUAACAAACGGAUUUUGUGUUGUUCUUUUGGUCUGUUUAUUCGUCUUGUCUUGCGAAACCUUCUUAAUGAUUUUCACAGACUUGCUCCAUUCGAAAAAGAGUAAACAACUCAAUAAUUAAAUAAGCAACCCAAAUGAAUUUUCUCAUCAAUAAUGAUGAGCAAGUGAACAAAAAUUCAAUCAUCGAUAACUGUUAUGAGCCCAUUGAGCUCUAUCCUAAUUGGAGUGUGAACUCCUGUAGGAAGAAGUAGAGGCGACGGAGGUCCGAGAGAAAUGCAAAAUGGGUGGUUCCGGUAUUAUCCUAUAGCAAAUUUAUUUGUAGAGGGGGAACAAACGUACGCCGUAACAUAACCUACUCGAGCAUCGCUGAGUAUUGUCGAGUGAGUUACUUUCAGAUUCUUUUCCGCAUAAAAUUGGAUAAAUACAAUUUAAAUUGAAUUGUCACAAAUAAUAAAAUUUAGCUCUAUACCAAAUUGUAUAUAUUUGUAUGAUCUAAAUUAUGGUAUGUAAAUUAUGUAUACUAUUUCAUUAUUAUGUCAUUAUUAUUAAUGUUUCUAUCGUUUUAUAUAUAAAUAAAAAGGAAAUAAAGUUCAAAUCUGAACAUAAUUAAUCUGUAAAUAAUUUCUAGAGUGCCGCGAAAUUCAAACAAAGAGGAGUUUGUUCUCCCUCCACACAUAAAUUUGCUAUAGGAUAGUACCACCGGAACCACUCAUCUUGCAUCUCUCUCGCAGUUCACACUCCCGUUAGGAUAGAGCUCAAUGGUGGACACUUCCUUAAUAACGAAAACGAAUACUUAAUACACUGAAUGUAUUUAGAAUAUGCGAAAGAUUCUUUUUAAACAACUAUCAGCUUCCGGAGUGUUUGAUUUUUCUGAAAUUACAGAGCCCGAUCUUGAAAUUUUAUUUACUGGUUCGUACCAAUUAUCUCAAUGCGUGUCAUAUUUAGCAGAAUUAAUGGACGACCAAAAUAAUAUUAAUGGCCUUAAGGGCGCGCAGGAGAUAAACUGACGCCACCAACGGAGAGUAGGUGAAUUGCUAGAUAGUUUUUCCCGUUUCACAGGCACAAUAAUGAAAAAAAACAUAUAAUAAUUAUGCAUUUCGUAAUCAGGGGAAGUACAUCUAUCGUCUCAUUAAGCGUUUUGGAGAAAAUUGAAAAAAAAAAAUAAAUUUCUUGCAUUUAAACGUAUUUUCAGCAUGUUUCAAUAGCGACAUUGCAAAAUCUGGCAGUAUCGCCCACAGUGGAAUUUUACAAGAAAUAGUUUAAACAAAAAAUCAGCCGGAAAGGUCGUUUUCUCGCUUCAUAAAAUGUAAAUAACUGUUUGGAAAAUUACAAAUGUUUGACAUCAUUCUGUCUUUGUCUCUCCUCCGUUUGUUGUAUCUCCCUCUCUGUCACAGCAUCAUUGGAGAGACAAGGAUCUAUCUAUUCUUGUCCCAGAGCAUCCUACUUUUUCCACAACUGUCGCUGAAGUCAACUCGGAGUUUUGCUCGAAUCACGUCGCAUUAGCAAUAAAAUCUAUAGAUGUUACAUCUGACUACACACCAAAUUCAAUAGACUACAGAGCAGGGCCCCCAAGCUCCACUCUGGUGACCAUGAAGCCCGAUUUAAUUCGGGCCCCGGGGUUUGGCGGCGCCAGUGUCACUCUUUUACGUCUAUUAAGUUCAUAUUCUGUCUAACCGCACGAUCGAACGCGAUCGAUAAUUCAACGAUUGGAACGAUUGGAUGGAAUUCAACGAUUUUACUAAAGACAUGGACGAUAAAAAAUGAUUGUGUUGUCCAAAGGGGUCGACUCCAAGCAACCAGCAGGAAAUGCUUUAAAGGUAUUAAGUAUUUUUUUUAUUAUAUAUUUAUUAUAUAUUGCAUUUUUUAUUAUAUACUUUUAUUGUACAUUUUUCCGUAUUUUUAUUAUAUAUUGUAUUUUUUUAUUAUAUAUUUUUUUUGUAUACUUUAUUGCAUUUUUUGAUUAUAUAUUUUUAUUGUACAUUUUACCGUAUUUUUACUGUAUAUUUCAUUGUAUUUUUAUUAUAUAUAUUUUUUAAAUAUAGCGUAUGUAUAUUUUUAUUAUAUACAUUUUUUAUUGUAUAUUGUACUGUCUAUUAUUAUUACAUUUAUGUAUAAUAAGUUUAAUUUCAUAAAGUUGGGCCUUUUUUUUCCUUCCUUUACUUUUUAUUCAGUUUCAUUUUAAAGCAGGUACAAAUCCACAUAUAUAGGACCAUGCUGUUGUGUGUGUGGCUCACUGAUUAUGUUGUAUGCGGUAGUAACGACACUGGCGCCGCCAAACCCCGGGGCCCGAAUUAAAUCGGGCUUCAAUGCGACGUACGGUAGCUUGGCGGCCCAAUUUAGACUUUUUAUGUAGGGUUUAAUAAUAAAUUGCAGCCAGUGUUGUAAAAUGUUGAUCGAUCUUGAUUACAAGAUAAGUUGUCAAAUCUGAAUUGCCAGAUACCUUGAUUCAUACAGAAAACUGUUUUUAAUAUAGAUCCAUAUCACCAAAGUGUUUUGAAUUUAAGCUUUUUAUGUAGAGCUUGUGAAAAUGAAAGGGGCUCACAGGAUUAGAGAUUAACAAAUUACUGCCAGUAAAGUAAAAUGUAGAUGAACUUUGAUUACAAGGUAAGUUGUCUAAAUCUGAAUUGCCAGGUACCUUUAUUCAUACAGAAAACUGUAUUUAGUAUAGAUCCAUACCACCAAAGUGUUUUGUAUUUAGACUUUUUAUGCAGAGCUUAUACAAACAGACGGACCCACAGGUUUGGAGGUUAUUCGUUAACAAAUUGCAGCAACUGUUGUAAAAUGCUUAUCCAUUUUCAUUACAAGGUAAGUUGUCAAAAUCUGAAUUGUCAGGUAUCUUCAUUCGUACAGAAUAGAUCCAUACCACUAAAGUGGUUUUAAUUUAAACUUUUUAUGUAGAUCUUAUAGAAAUGGAGUCAUUUUCUCAUUUCAUCAUUAACAUUAAAAUUUCUUGCAGCAAGAAAAAAAUUGCAGGUAUAUAUAAUUAUUUAUAAAUUGAACGAAUAAGUGUUUAUAAUUAAUAAAUUAUAUGAAAUAUAUAUAUAUUCGCUUUUGUCAUCCCCUCUCUCUUUAUUUUACUGUAUUCAAUUGAAAAGGAAAAAUAAUAAUUUAGACUUCUUAUGCAGAGUUUACAGAAAUAUCCAUUUUAUUUUUAUAAAUUUAAAAUAGAUUCUAUAUAAUAAAUGAUUUGUAAAAAGAAGUGUAAAAAAGUAAAAAGUAAAAAAAUUACGCCAAGUACAUGAAAAAGUGGAGGACUCAAGGAGUUAUCACUGAAAAAUAGAAGAUCCCCAUAAAAAAAAAAACUACAAGAAAUUAGAAAAAGAUGUGAAAUCGAAAUAAGCUGCCAGAUGAUUUGCCUAGAUUUCCGCGGCCUGGAAGGCAAAUGCUUGGCGUGGCCAGACAAGGUCGAGGUGUCGAUGAAUAAGAAUUAUUUUAAAACGCAAAAUAAUGAAAGUGUACUCAUAUUGUCAGAGUUUUAAACUGACAAUUUAUCUGAAAGCUUGCGAGAGUAAAGGUAUUGGUGUCGAUGAAUGACCUUAGAAAUAUUUUAAAACGCAAUACAAUGAAAGUGUACUCAUAAUAUUGUCAGAGUUUUAAAUUGUCAAAUUACCUGACAGUCUGUAAAAACAGAAAGUAUGGGUAUUGAUGAUCUAAGAAUGCCUUGCCUGGCCACGCCAUGCAUUUGCCUUCCAAGCCGCGGAAAUCUGGGCAAAUCAUCUGGCAGCUUAUUUCGAUUUCACAUCUUUUUCUAAUUUCUUGUAGUUUUUUUUUUAUGGGGAUCUUCUAUUUUUCAGUGAUAACUCCUUGAGUCCUCCACUUUUUCAUGUACUUGGCGUAAUUUUUUUACUUUUUUGAAGUUUUUUAGACAUAUACACAAUAUACAUUUCUAUAUACUCAAAGAGUAGUUCGGCAAACCGUCUGUAGCGGCUAGCUGUAAAUGUUUGAAAAGACUUCGAACGUGCAAACGGCUAGCACGGUUUAUGACACGAACCAUAGCGGAACUAUUUUUGAGAAAGCCGUUAUAACGAAUAGAGUUUUUGUAAAGCAUGUACGUAGCUAGGGUUUGCCAACGGCCUCGAUAGUUAAGCGCUAGUGUCAUAAACCCUGAGUUUCUUCAAGGAUCUUCGACGAGAGGUCUGGCGACCAUCGGCUGGUCGCGCCACGGACCUAGGACCCUGGGAAAUUCCGCUGCGUUGCCACCUUCUUCUGCAAACGCUACCCCCGCCAAAUGGCACCCCCCAGACGGGCCACGGGCACCCUGAUGAGGCACGCACAAUUUGGCGGGUUUCUUGACGAGUCAGUCUUGGACGAGUCGCCCUGGGAGACAUUCUCCCUAAAUAAAUAGAAUUCUUCCAAAAAUCUGUAAUUAAUUAAAUCGAACACGCCCAAAUCAUCCCUUCACGUCCAAAAUUUCAAUUCGCACCUUUCCUCACUGCUAUCACCCAUUGACUAUAGCGCUUGCGCACAACUGCUUACUCGUAACUUUGGCAUGCGACAUGUUGGUUACGGACUACACUAUAACUUGAGCAGUCCAUGGUCGAAGGGAAUCACUCAUCUUGCAUCUCUCUCAGACCGUCUUCUCUCUCGCAGUUCACACACCAGUUAGGAUAGAACUCAAUGUAUGAGCCAUCGAAAUGAACUUCUCUCGUUGAUAACUUUUAUGGACAAUUGAAAUAAAUUUCUCUCGUCGAUAAUUGUUAUGAGCGAUCAAAAUGAAUUUCUUCCAUAGAUAACGCCCAAAUAAAGGCCCAAUUUUAGUUCCUCCGAGAGAAUAUUAAAUCAAGUCUGGUAAUUUUGAAUAUAGGUAAUUUUAUGUUGUGCCGCCUCCGAAAAGGUUGCAUUGUAUUUAAUAGACUGUAUUUAAUAAUUGAACCAAAUUCAUCAAGAGCUGGUGAGUAAUAAUACAGUUUAAAUAGAAAUUAUUUCAUACUUGUUGGAUUUUCUCUUCUUUGAAAGAAAAAGUUCUCGUAAUAAAAAAAACCAUCUGUGCGCGUUUGGGUUUCAUUCCUAGACACAAGUAAAGAGGGUGCAGCUGCGUCCCAUCUUGGCUUGUUUAGACAGAGUAUGGGACCGAUAGGGUCUAUGGUUCAGUAACGAAAUUCUUCGUUACUGACCUCGUGUUGCAUUCAGUCGAGCUGCUUCUUUCGAACUAAACAGACGUACUCUUCCGUGGUCUUCUAAUAAAGUUUUAAAGUCAAGUUAAAUAAAAGACUAACUCAUUCAUGCCACCGCCUAUAUUUCCAAUAAUACUUUUUACUGGAUUUUGUCAUACUUUUAAGCAAUUAUAUCUAGAGUUGGCGAGUAUUCACAUAAAUUAACUAGAAAUUAUUUCAUAGUUUUCAGUGCAGUUUUAAUCUUUAUCGAAUAACAGUUAAUUGACCACAACAGUAGUUGCUAUAUUCUGAAAAGCGAUAACGUCCGUUUCAACGAUUUAUGUUCAUUGGCGUAGCCUUAAUUAUACUAAAGUGUUGCGAUAUGAGAUAAUCGUUAACGAGCAAAACAUGCUAAUGAAAAACAUUUGUAUUCAGAGUGCAACAAAUAAUUCAACCUAUCAACAUCUCAGGGUCUACCCCCAUCGAGUGUAGAUCAAAUAAUAAUUUAAAAUUUGUUGGCGUCGGUUUGAAACUGUGUUAAACAAUGUAAUUUAGUGCAAAUGAAUUCGUCUUGAAAAGUACUAUCGCAUGAUCCACCAAAAAUAUAUAUGGUAAUUAUAGAGAACAGGUACAUCCUCACCGAUUUCUAGGAUUUUUGAAUAUGUUGUAGAAAUCAACAUUUUGAACAACUUUUUCCUAUACAUAUAACCGUCGCUCGGCCUUAGUUUCCGAGAUAUUUGCAAAAUACCAUUGCUACUACUACAAUGAAUAUUGCGUAUAGCAACGCGUCCGUGACAGCGUGUGUGUAAGCGUUGAGUCGUUGAUUGUUUAGGCUCGGAAUACACGUCCGCGUCUGUGAGUCUGUAUGCGUUAGCUAUCAUUCGUCGGUCGGCUCGUGUUUCAAUCUGUUUCGAACUCAUUCAUACAUAUGAAGUAGCGCAUGAUUUUUAUUCGUACAGUAAAAGAAUGGGGGUCCGGUGGCUAGCCCCCGGUCGUGAGAGCAACAACGAGUACUGCAGCGCACCACGCAGGUGUGUACAUG